GAAGCGGGCACGGCACGGCCGCUCCUUCCCCGGGCACCGCGGGUCGGGUCGGGCCGCCCCGAGUCAAACAUCCUUCCCCUCCCAGCCCCCCUCAGCUCCUGCACGAUGUAUUUUUAUUCCUUCGGAAUAAACCGACGGCUUUGUCGGAGCACAAAUUCACCCUUCCAACAGCGAAAAAGCCUCCCUCAGUCCCUUCCUUGCCGCGUGACAGCCCCGACGGCACCACGGUGUGCAGCCCGCAGCGCUCCGACGGCGCCCGCCUCAACCCCUUGUGAUUAUAUAAUAGCUCUCAAGAGGAAGCUGCUAACAAGCCCAUCUGAUAUUUUGUGCCAGCUGUUUUAGUGGAGGCGUGUUGGAUUAGACAGAACUCCGCCUUCUUUGACAAGGUAUAUUAUAUGAGUAACGCUGUAAAAUACAUUUCAAACAGAAUGAUAGUCUACUUAACUUCUUGGUACUCUUUUCGUUAAUUUC
RNAcentral lists this long non-coding RNA (471 nucleotides) under Numida meleagris (helmeted guineafowl). Its description in RNAcentral is "lncRNA (ENSNMEG00000010892.1)". Lineage: Eukaryota; Metazoa; Chordata; Aves; Galliformes; Numididae. The record is from RNAcentral.